Molecule: transfer RNA, 74 nt
Filed under: Cimex lectularius (bed bug)
Lineage: Eukaryota; Metazoa; Arthropoda; Insecta; Hemiptera; Cimicidae
Description: tRNA-Lys
Rfam family: tRNA
About the family: Transfer RNA (tRNA) molecules are approximately 80 nucleotides in length. Their secondary structure includes four short double-helical elements and three loops (D, anti-codon, and T loops).
Source: Rfam by way of RNAcentral
GUCACGAUUGCUCAAGUGGUUAGAGCAUCGGCGUUUUGAGCUGAAGGUCAUGGGUUCGAUUCCCGCUCGUGACA